Schistocerca piceifrons (Central American locust) is the source of this 523-nucleotide long non-coding RNA. RefSeq lists it as uncharacterized. The record is from RefSeq and is a predicted model, not a curated record. Lineage: Eukaryota; Metazoa; Arthropoda; Insecta; Orthoptera; Acrididae. The transcript is spliced from 3 exons.
CAGAGUUCACUUACUGUUACUACAGCUUUCUUGCGCACAGUCGCAUGUUAGUUUGAUAAGUAAACUGCAGUGUGUAGAAAGGUACGGUGGUAUGUGCUGGACCUUCUGCGACGUCAGUGUAUGUGCAUAACCUCCAGGGUGACGUCUUGUGACAUCUCCGACGUACCGAGGAUGCAUAUGGUACAGCAGGCGUGUAACAGUUGUAGUGGACGCAAAGUGGAACUUCCUCUACGAGGUUGGUAGAAACAGAAUUACGUACAUAAGGAACUGCCUGGACUCUCAACAGCGUAGCAGCUUCUCGGCGUGAAGGGCGGAGCACAGCUUACCGGAGACAGGCGGAGCACGAGAGGAGUACACCGCUGCUGCCGACACGCCCAUGGAAGCGCACCUGCGGCUCCACUGAAACUCGCAGCCAGUGUGAGGCUACCGGACUGGGUGCGGGGCGAUGCUGAUUGAACCGGAGGGGCGCCCAGCAGUGAGAGACGAGAGCGCGGUCCCCGGCAGCGGCGACAGGCCGACGGCG